CUCCUACGGGAGGCAGCAGUAGGGAAUAUUGCACAAUGGGCGAAAGCCUGAUGCAGCAACGCCGCGUGCGCGAAGAAGGCCUUCGGGUUGUAAAGCGCUUUUCUGGAGGAAGAGGAAGGACGGUACUCCAGGAAUAAGGAUCGGCUAACUACGUGCCAGCAGCCGCGGUAACACGUAGGAUCCGAGCGUUAUCCGAAUUUACUGGGCGUAAAGCGCGUGUAGGCGGUCGGGUAAGUUGGACGUGAAAGCUCCUGGCUCAACUAGGAGAGGUCGUUCAAAACUGCCUGGCUAGAGGGCGACAGAGGGAGGUGGAAUUCCCGGUGUAGUGGUGAAAUGCGUAGAUAUCGGGAGGAACACCAGUGGCGAAGGCGGCCUCCUGGGUCGCACCUGACGCUCAGACGCGAAAGCUAGGGGAGCGAACGGGAUUAGAUACCCCGGUAGUCCUAGCUGUAAACGAUGUGGACUUGGCGUUGGUGGGGUUAAAUCCAUCAGUGCCGGAGCUAACGCGAUAAGUCCACCGCCUGGGGACUACGGUCGCAAGAUUAAAACUCAAAGGAAUUGACGG
RNAcentral lists this ribosomal RNA (565 nucleotides) under uncultured bacterium. RNAcentral's name for it is "bacterial SSU rRNA". It matches the Rfam family "Bacterial small subunit ribosomal RNA", at positions 336 to 916 of the family's 1533-position model. The record is from RNAcentral.